RNAcentral lists this ribosomal RNA (378 nucleotides) under uncultured bacterium. Its description in RNAcentral is "bacterial SSU rRNA". It matches the Rfam family "Bacterial small subunit ribosomal RNA", at positions 521 to 896 of the family's 1533-position model. The record is from RNAcentral.
UAAUACGUAGGGUGCGAGCGUUGUCCGGAAUUACUGGGCGUAAAGAGCUCGUAGGUGGUUUGUCACGUCGUCUGUGAAAUUCCGGGGCUCAACCCCGGGCGUGCAGGCGAUACGGGCAUAACUUGAGUGCUGUAGGGGAGACCGGAAUUCCUGGUGUAGCGGUGAAAUGCGCAGAUAUCAGGAGGAACACCGAUGGCGAAGGCAGGUCUCUGGGCAGUAACUGACGCUGAGGAGCGAAAGCAUGGGUAGCGAACAGGAUUAGAUACCCUGGUAGUCCAUGCCGUAAACGGUGGGCGCUAGGUGUAGGGGACUUCCACGUCUUCUGUGCCGUAGCUAACGCAUUAAGCGCCCCGCCUGGGGAGUACGGCCGCAAGGCUA